ACGCUCUAACCACUAGGCUACCCUGUUGCCGUGGGAAUACGUCAUGAUGACACAUGAUACGUCACUCAGCUAUUAGUCCCUGUUUGUGUUCCAAAUGGCACCCUAUUCCCUAUGUAGGGCACUACCCACUCUAUGGGCCCUGGUCUAAAGUAGUGCACUAUAUAGGGAAAAGGGUGCCAUUUGGGAUGAAGGUAUUGUAAAGAACUAGUAACCUCCCCUUUAUGGACACAUUGGACUGGCGGUGUAUGAAAACAUUACUGGCUGUCAAAUCCUUGCUUCCUCCCUCCUUGUUUCCUCAAUCCAUCUCAAAUCGCUUCGGAGGAGAUGAGUGGAUCCAAGGUCCCUCCCUUGGUUGUCAUCCUCCAAUGAGCUUUGAGAGGAAUUGAUAAAAAACAGGGAAGCAAUGAUUUGACAGCUGGCAAAGUUUUCCUCACUCUUUGAAGGCUGUGAAUCUAGCCUUCAAAGAGUUUAUUCAAAAGCCUGGCCUUCAUUUCAUCACCAUUAGAGGUUUAUACUAUUUGUAGGUGUUGCUGUUAUUUGGCAACGCAGACUGUUAUCUCAUUGGUUGAGGCAUUACUGAGAACAAGCCACCUGUGGAGUGUCAUUGCAUUUCUGUGCGGGGGGAGAGGGGAUGUAUGUUGAGGGUGUAUUGUGGAUACACGGGUGAGGUAGGUGUUUACAAACAGUGAGAGUACAUAGGAACAACCAUCAGCGGUUGGUUUUCCUGACAGACAGACGCUCGUCCCCAGACUCUACAGAACACAGAUCAAGCCCUAUCUGACUGAGAGACAUGUCCUCCUCCUCUCUUCUGUGGUGCCUGCUGGUGGUAUGUGUACUGGCUGUGGUCCAGAUCUAUACAGCAGAGGAACGUAAGGUCACCAAGGUGUUAAACCUCCGUGCCACUGACCUGCACAGCAGCCUGCUAGGGAUCCCUGAUGCCUACGUCGAGGUAAAUCUCUCCUCACCUGAGUCACCUGUCCACCAUGAUAGCUGAUGUGUGGUUGAUCUGUCUGGCGCCAUAUGUCUGGGUGGUGGAUAAGGUAAUAUCCCAACCACUUACCAUGUAUAGCCCUUUGAGCAUCUGGGAAAAAAACUUUAUAUAACUCUAUCAUUAUUUUAUUAUUGUUAUUAAAGGGAUAGUUCCCCCAAAUGCAUUGAUUGCUGGCUUACCUUGUCAAUAGACUGCUUACAGGGCAAGGAAACAGUCAAGAUAAAAAUGGUUGUUGACCAUGAAAUAUAUUAUGUGGUCUCUGGGUGACCCUCUGAGGUUAGGGGUCACCAUGAAUAAAAAAAAAAAAGUUUCACCUUUUUUUAACCAGG
This is a long non-coding RNA of Oncorhynchus tshawytscha (Chinook salmon), 1320 nucleotides long. RefSeq lists it as uncharacterized. The transcript has 2 exons. Lineage: Eukaryota; Metazoa; Chordata; Actinopteri; Salmoniformes; Salmonidae. The record is from RefSeq and is a predicted model, not a curated record.